UACAUUAGCAUGGGAUAAUGGAAUAGGACCCUGUCCUCCUAUUUUCAGUUGGUUUUGGCAGCGCGAGGACUAGGGUAAUGAUUAAUAGGGAUAGUUGGGGGCAUUAAUAUUUAAUUGUCAGAGGUGAAAUUCUUGGAUUUAUGAAAGAUUAACUUCUGCGAAAGCAUCUGCCAAGGAUGUUUUCAUUAAUCAAGAACGAAAGUUAGGGGAUCGAAGACGAUCACAUACCGUCGUAGUCUUAACCAUAAACGAUGCCGACCAGCGAUUAGGAGACGUUGAAUACAAAACACCACCAUCGCCC
RNAcentral lists this ribosomal RNA (301 nucleotides) under Acanthamoeba sp. RNAcentral describes it as "SSU rRNA". It matches the Rfam family "Eukaryotic small subunit ribosomal RNA", at positions 800 to 1088 of the family's 1831-position model. The record is from RNAcentral. Lineage: Eukaryota; Discosea; Longamoebia; Acanthamoebidae.